Zea mays is the source of this 166-nucleotide long non-coding RNA. RefSeq lists it as uncharacterized. The transcript is spliced from 3 exons. The record is from RefSeq and is a predicted model, not a curated record. Lineage: Eukaryota; Viridiplantae; Streptophyta; Magnoliopsida; Poales; Poaceae.
CCACAUCGUUUAAAUUCCGCGAACCAUUAAAUAUCCAAUAUAUUUGUGUUGAAAAUCCGUUUCGACUUAUUUCUUUUAUGUUAGCUUCGUAAAGCUAUAUUAACGACGUAUUAGGUAACAUUACUUUAUCAUCAUGCACAUUCUAAUAUUAAUUAAUUGGUCAUCU